GCCUGCAGUCUGAAGGCUCCAGCCGUAGACGGAGAAAGAAGAGAAAGGGAGGACGAGGAGUCAUCCACAGGUUGUCUGUCCGUUUGAUGAACAGGCGGUCUAGAGUUUAUAAAGUACAGUUUAGGCUGACUAAUGAAACACAACACAGAAAAAAAAACGAUAAGCUAAAGACGAAUAGGAGGGAUGGGUUCAGCACAGGGCUGGAGCUGAACCAGGGCGGCGCAGGACUUCUACUGCAUGAGGCAGGAGUUUCAUCACCACCACUACGAGUCAGCACAUUUCCCAAUCCAAUUCUGUCUUCUGCGUUCAUCCACAUUCGCCCACACGAUAUCAACCCUGAAGCGGAGGGCAGUGGCCUCGGUAACGGGAACGCCAGGUAAGAAAUCGUCCACUCAAUCUCAGCCGACAGAUUUCAUUCGUCGACUGAGGGGGAAGACGAGUCAUCAAUCGAUGGCGAGAUCAGAAAUCUCGGGCGGUCUGGGGAAUUGUUUGAAGUUAUAACUCUGUUGGCUCGUGUGUUUCGACGGUAAUUCACUCUGUAUUUAAAUGUCCUUCAAAUGCAAACACAGUCACAUGAGAUGGGACAGGAAGACAGACUCAGCAUGUAAGGCUACAUCCGACUGAAGGAGCCAAGUCGGCAUAUAUGCCCACCACACACACACACACACACACACACACACACACACACACACACACACACACACACACACACACACACACACACACACACACACACACACACACACACACACACACACACACACACACACACACACACGGCCCUGCUGCCGUGAGAAGCCAUUAAGCAGACGCACAAAGGCAGAAACACAUACUCAGACGCAAGCAAAUGCAUAAACACAAACAUGCGUGAUUAGAAACACGCACGCACGCACGCACUCACAUACAGACAAACACACAGUCCAUGUUCAUGCUGGGUCUAGGAGGUCCUGUUCUGAUGGAGGAAGGGAAAAGGAUGGAAAGAGGGGCAUACACAACAACAGCGCGUGACGUCUUUGAGGUCCAUGUUGCCAGGGACUGGCUCCAUCGCUACAAGGACGGAUCCUGACACAAUCUCACCAAGACACGCCCGCUGUUUUACGACCGGCCCACGCACUGUUUAUCCGUGUUCAUGCCACUCACGCUGCAAUAAACCGCUUAAACGCACAUCUGGGAGCAACCAUCAGACACACCAAACGAGAGGUAAACACAACCAACGAAACCCGACAACAACAACAACAACGCUGCAACACUGAACUCUCAUCAUCCAACUAGUGGUCGGGUCAAUAGACUAUUCUUUUUAUUGAACUGAACAUUAUUUACAUUAUUUACGUUGGAUGUCUGAACGCGGCUGACGCCACUGUCUUCCUCGUCCUGGUAACCCGGCAGGCUCCACAAUGGAGCUGCGGCCCACCCUGCAAUCCAGGGUCCGACGGCUGAUGCAACCCAAAGCAAGAAGGCAGGCUCUGCUUCGCCACCUGACAACACACGGUUCCCCGCACAGAGCACACGUGGUGGCUGACUUCCCACCGCUUACAAAGGGCAUUCACACGCCAUGGACGGGAAGCUGUGUGCAGGCCUGCCUGUCUGCUCUCAGUUCUUCAUUUCACGGAUAGUGAGGUUAAUGAAGGCAUAUGAUUAUGCCUCAUGCUAUGACACAUCGUUGUCGUUGCGACAUUGCAGAGCCGAGAGUUCCCUUUGAAGGGAAUCACGUAGUGUUGACAAUUCUUACAUAAUUACAUUUCUGACAGUGCUGUACUUUCCACUAGAAUGUGGUCUGGCGAUCAACCUAAUUUAUUUUUCUGCAUUUGCCUGGAAUAGAGCAAAUAAUACAUGCAUAUAACUACCCUCGCAAAACAAUGCUUUAAACUAAUAAUACUUUACGUUGCUAUUGUUAUUAUUAUGACAAUGCAUAUUUUAAUAUUUACUACUAUUAUUACUUGCACUUGUUAUUGUUGGAUCUUGUUGUUGUUGGAAAAUGCAAGACACAACUGAGUUACAUGUUUGUCGGCAUAAAGGUCAGGACAUUAGAACCUAAUCGAAUCAGCCGAGAAAAAAAAAAAAGAGACAGAGAGAGAGAGAGAGAGAGAGAAAGAGAGAGAGAGACUAGGAAGACCCGGGAGACAAAGAGAAAGGGGCCUGGUUUGUAUUUUGUUGUUGCUGUUUGGAAGCACUCACAUCUGAACAAUGUCAGGCGGCUAUUAUUAACUCUCAGCACUGCGCAGUCGUCCUCUUCCUCUUCAGGAUAAUAUCGAUCCUCUGUCUCUUUCCCUACGUGAGGCUGGGCGUCUCAUGCGGUCCAUGCCCAGAGAUCGUAACAAAAUAACACAUGUGGAUGUUCUCAGAAAAAGCACCGUGCUUUUUAGGCCUUGCAUGGAAAGGGGGUCCGGGGGGGGGGGAGGUGUUGCUGUACCGAUGCACGCCUCUAUUGUGAAAGCAAGUCGAUGUCGGACACCAGGAGGAGCGCGUGGAGAACGGAGCUGGAGGAGGAAGGGUCGGCCGCUGAUGGUGGCGGCGGUCUCCCAGCUGGAGACACACGUGUGCGCUCCAGCUGUGUUCCGGAAAACACCCGCAUUAUGUAACAGGGCCGCCUCGCACACAUACAGAUGGUGGAGGGAUGGACGAAUUGACGGACAGACUUGUGCAUCAGGUGUUUACAAUGAAUUCACCCAUAAGAAUUCACCCAUUCACACAGCGAGGAGGAUCUCUGUAAUUGUUCAACUCAUCCUGCUUUAAUAGAAGAGAACUCCACAAAGAACACUAACACCGUGGAGCAACAAUGUAACAGUACAACUGUGGUUGUCCCACUCCCCCCCCCCCCCUCCCCGAACAUCACAUCUGGACCCCUGCAAUGCACGCUGUGUUACCCUGCGAGCCUUGAGGACGGGAGACAAAGGCUGGUGGGCCAAAGGGCACCGGUCCAAAGUGUACACAAAGAAUUUGAACAGCUGCUUGGGACAGGAAAUAGGAAGAAAUGUGAGAAUGCAGUACACUGCAAACCAUGUGUCUAACAGUACGGCCAGCAAGGCAUAUCUACUGCCAUGUCUGGGAUAGUGUGUUACACAUCUUCAAAUUCAACUUUAGAAUCUACGCAUAAAUUAAUGUCUGUCUGUCUGUCUGUCUGUCUGUCUGUCUGUCUGUCUGUCUGUCUGUCUGUCUGUCUGUCUGUCUGUCUGUCUGUCUGUCUGUCUGUCUGUCUGUCUGUCUGUCUGUCUGUCUGUCUGUCUGUCUGUCUGUCAGAGAUGUGUUGCAUUUCAUCAUACUCUUAUCAUUGGAUGAAGAUCAAGAUCAAGUUAAAAAAGCAAAUUCUUCUAUGACAAAUGACAAAAGAAGAAGUCAGAAACAAUUAAUUUUGAUUUGGCUUGACCACAACUGUUCGGUCAGUGGGUUUGAGAACUCAAAGAAAAGCCUAUCCGCCACACAGGGGUGCUACCGUUGGGGGGCUAUUUAUAUAAAAUGAGUGGAGCUACUAUCCACAACCCCUAAUUCGUUUUGGUUUUCUAGCAAAGAACCGUGUCACAUGCACGGUCCAGACAUGGUCCUAUCUUUAGACAUCCUGUGUGAUCUCCCCAGCUCCCCAGGAGAGAGGCAUUGGUAACCCAGCUCGUCCAUAGAGAAAGGGGUGUGUGUGUGUGUGUGUGUGUGUGUGUGUGUGUGUGUGUGUGUGUGUGUGUGUGUGUGUGUGUGUGUGUGUGUGUGUGUGUGUGUGUGUGUGUGUGUGUGUGUGUGUGCGCGUCUAGCAGUUAAAAUUAGAGUUGUGAAUCCAUCUCAAUUACAAUGGCCCGGUUCGUCACGACGAGACUGGGACCAGCGCAGAGCCUCACCGCCCGGGUCGUUUACCAAGUAGUCCACAGGGCGCGUGUUAGCAGACACGCACAGGAGAGGAUAAAUAUAGACACACACACACACACACACACACCUACUCGCUCAUAAUCACACUGAGACACACGCACAGGCCGACUCAAACAUAAUGACACUUAGACACACACCCAGGCUCAGAGUCUUACGUUCACUAACCUUAACCCUGACGCACACACACACACUCAUAAUCACACACACACACACACACACACACACACACACACACACACACACACACACACACACACACACACACACACACACACACACACACACACACACACACACACACACACACACACACACAAAUAA
Molecule: long non-coding RNA, 4170 nt
Organism: Gadus macrocephalus (Pacific cod)
Lineage: Eukaryota; Metazoa; Chordata; Actinopteri; Gadiformes; Gadidae
Exons: 2
Source: RefSeq, a predicted model, not a curated record